This 531-nucleotide ribosomal RNA is filed under the name Bifidobacterium breve. RNAcentral describes it as "bacterial SSU rRNA". It matches the Rfam family "Bacterial small subunit ribosomal RNA", at positions 159 to 700 of the family's 1533-position model. The record is from RNAcentral. Lineage: Bacteria; Bacillati; Actinomycetota; Actinomycetes; Bifidobacteriales; Bifidobacteriaceae.
GGUGGUAAUGCCGGAUGCUCCAUCACACCGCAUGGUGUGUUGGGAAAGCCUUUGCGGCAUGGGAUGGGGUCGCGUCCUAUCAGCUUGAUGGCGGGGUAACGGCCCACCAUGGCUUCGACGGGUAGCCGGCCUGAGAGGGCGACCGGCCACAUUGGGACUGAGAUACGGCCCAGACUCCUACGGGAGGCAGCAGUGGGGAAUAUUGCACAAUGGGCGCAAGCCUGAUGCAGCGACGCCGCGUGAGGGAUGGAGGCCUUCGGGUUGUAAACCUCUUUUGUUAGGGAGCAAGGCAUUUUGUGUUGAGUGUACCUUUCGAAUAAGCACCGGCUAACUACGUGCCAGCAGCCGCGGUAAUACGUAGGGUGCAAGCGUUAUCCGGAAUUAUUGGGCGUAAAGGGCUCGUAGGCGGUUCGUCGCGUCCGGUGUGAAAGUCCAUCGCUUAACGGUGGAUCCGCGCCGGGUACGGGCGGGCUUGAGUGCGGUAGGGGAGACUGGAAUUCCCGGUGUAACGGUGGAAUGUGUAGAUAUCGG